RNAcentral lists this small RNA (29 nucleotides) under Bombyx mori (domestic silkworm). Its description in RNAcentral is "ovarian small RNA-29228". The record is from RNAcentral. Lineage: Eukaryota; Metazoa; Arthropoda; Insecta; Lepidoptera; Bombycidae.
UCGUCCCAAGCGACGGGUGACCGAUUGUA